UACAGAGGUGGCAAGCGUUGUUCGGGAUUACUGGGCGUAAAGGGCGCGUAGGCGGCCUUCUAAGUCAGACGUGAAAUCCCCCGGCUUAACCUGGGAACUGCGUCUGAUACUGGGAGGCUUGAGUAUGGGAGAGGGAUGUAGAAUUCCAGGUGUAGCGGUGAAAUGCGUAGAUAUCUGGAGGAAUACCGGUGGCGAAGGCGGCAUCCUGGACCAUUACUGACGCUGAGGCGCGAAAGCUAGGGGAGCAAACGGG
RNAcentral lists this ribosomal RNA (253 nucleotides) under uncultured bacterium. RNAcentral's name for it is "partial 16S ribosomal RNA". It matches the Rfam family "Bacterial small subunit ribosomal RNA", at positions 524 to 776 of the family's 1533-position model. The record is from RNAcentral.